CCCAUACCCCGAAAAUGAUGGUUUAAUCCCUUCCCUUACUA
This 41-nucleotide transfer RNA is filed under the name Elaenia chilensis. RNAcentral's name for it is "partial tRNA-Met". RNAcentral also lists the same sequence under 1 other name. The record is from RNAcentral. Lineage: Eukaryota; Metazoa; Chordata; Aves; Passeriformes; Tyrannidae.